This 861-nucleotide ribosomal RNA is filed under the name Triticum aestivum (bread wheat). RNAcentral describes it as "partial small subunit ribosomal RNA". Lineage: Eukaryota; Viridiplantae; Streptophyta; Magnoliopsida; Poales; Poaceae. The record is from RNAcentral.
AUGGCUUCGUCGGUGGCCGCCGCGGCGAGCGCGUUCCUCGGGACCCGGCUGGCGGACCCGGCGCCGCAGAACGGGCGCAUCGUGGCGCGGUUCGGCUUCGGCAAGAAGAAGGCCCCGCCGAAGAAGGCCAAGGCGCCCCCGACCACCGACCGGCCGCUGUGGUUCCCCGGCGCGCAGGCGCCCGAGUACCUCGACGGCACGCUCGUCGGCGACUACGGCUUCGACCCCUUCGGCCUCGGGAAGCCCGCGGAGUACCUGCAGUACGACGUGGACUCCCUGGACCAGAACCUGGCCCAGAACCUGGCGGGCGAGAUCAUCGGCACCCGGUUCGAGGACGCCGACGUCAAGUCCACCCCCUUCCAGCCCUACGCCGAGGUGUUCGGCCUCCAGAGGUUCCGCGAGUGCGAGCUCAUCCACGGCCGCUGGGCCAUGCUCGCCACCCUCGGCGCCCUCACCGUCGAGUGGCUCACCGGCGUCACCUGGCAGGACGCCGGCAAGGUGGAGCUGGUGGACGGGUCGUCGUACCUGGGGCAGCCGCUGCCGUUCACGCUCACCACGCUGAUCUGGAUCGAGGUGCUGGUGAUCGGGUACAUCGAGUUCCAGCGCAACGCGGAGCUGGACCCGGAGAGGAGGCUCUACCCCGGUGGCUCCUACUUCGACCCGCUGGGUCUCGCGGCGGACCCGGAGAAGAAGGAGACUCUGCAGCUGGCGGAGAUCAAGCACGCCCGCCUCGCCAUGGUCGCCUUCCUCGGCUUCGCCGUGCAGGCCGCCGCCACCGGCAAGGGGCCGCUCAACAACUGGGCCACCCACCUCAGCGACCCGCUGCACACCACCAUCUUCGACACCUUGGGCUCCUCUUAA